GGGCCCGUGGUCUAGUGGUUAUGAGGGAGUUGGCGUAGCCGCGCCCUAACAAACGUCGCCUUGACAUGGCGAAGUUCCCGAGUUCGAAUCUCGGCGGGCCCACCA
Molecule: transfer RNA, 105 nt
Filed under: Hadesarchaea archaeon
Lineage: Archaea; Methanobacteriati; Hadarchaeota (SeqCode); Hadarchaeia (SeqCode)
Also listed under: 1 other name
Description: tRNA-OTHER
Rfam family: tRNA
About the family: Transfer RNA (tRNA) molecules are approximately 80 nucleotides in length. Their secondary structure includes four short double-helical elements and three loops (D, anti-codon, and T loops).
Source: RNAcentral